UGUUUUAGUCACGGAUCUGCCAGCGAGACACACACCAACUUUUUGUUGUCUUUUGAACUCUUAUAUGUCAAGCAUAAUGUUGUGCGCAUUGUAAUAUUUGAUUGAUUGUGCAAUCAAUGAAGAUUGGCCACCAGGCUAGUUAAAUUUAACCAUGAAACCUCCAACUCCAAAUUGUCUAGAUUCAUUGUAUAACCUGUGCGUGUGUGUAUGCAUUUUGCACUUUUUCACCUAAACAAAUGAAGAACGCAAUAAGACUCCCAGAUUGAUUCAUAAACCAAUUUAAGCAAGUCUGUUCUGUAUAGAAUUUGUCAUGAAUACUGAGUUUUCUUCAAAUUGACUGGUCUGAAAGUGUGGGAACCCUGUCUCUAACCAUACGCAGCUGUACUCGAUGUUUGACCACUUUUUAAUUUCUUCCUUUCUUUCAUUGGCUUUGAACUGCUCUUUUCUUCCAGAUUCAGCAGCUCUGGCUAUAGGCAGUUGUAGGAAUACACAGCUGAAGAGUGUCUAGAGUAAGGGCUCAUUUAAAAUGCACAAACAACAUGCCGUUACAACCAACACACUUUGUUUAAUGGAGAGCGAAAGACUGUGUGCCUGUGAGAGAGAGAAAGUAAAAGAACGAUUGCUUUGUUUGUGGAUUUCAGUCUGAAGUUAUGACGUAUCCAUAAAGGCACUACAACACGCACCUCUCGCAUGCACAAGAGCACGGUUUACUGUAUGUACAGACACGUUCUCUAUAUCUGUAUAUGUGUCUGAUGUCAGGUCACAGCCAAUGUCUCGCAUCCAGUGCUCAGAAUAGGCUUUUACUCAUGAUGUACUCUGGCAGUAAACUUCUAGAUGUUAUAUUGUUCUUGAAGGAAGCAGCAUGGCAGUUCAAUGAGUGCAUGGUGAAAUCUAGCAUUCAUAUUCAAGUGUCAAGUCGAUUGUAGAGUCCAGUAAAAGCAGUUUUUGUGUUUGUCUGAUCCAAAAUGCUAGGUUUUUGCUUAACUUAUUUUUUGUCUUUUUAUGCACUCAUGGCUUUCUCUUUAUCUGUCUCAUUGUGUGUGUAGUGUGAAUUGCUCUAAAAGUACUAAAAUAAUUUCCUUUUCCCUUUUUGUCUCUCUGUCCUUUUGCUUCAUUUUGAUCUCUAACAAAUACACAAUAACAGAGUCUCAACCGAGUUUGAGAGAAGCGGGAGAUUUGAGGGCUCAAGUCGCCAUGUAUCUGGGGAUCAGCAGAAAGAUGAAGGGAAAGAUGGAAAAGACGGGAAACCUCGCUCUCUCCGUUUCACCUGGAGUAUGAACACCACCAGCACCAUGGAACCAGCAGACAUCAUUAAUGAGAUUCGUACAGUUCUGGAUGCCAACAGCUGCAGUUACCAGCAACGCGAAUGCUUUCUGCUUCUGUGUGCCCAUGGCGACUCUCACACUGACAGCCUUGUCCAGUGGGAGAUGGAGGUGUGCAAACUGCCCCGGCUCUCACUUAAUGGUGUCGGUUUUAAGAGGAUAUCUGGCAACUCCAUCGCUUUUAAAAACAUUGCUUCCAAAAUUGCAGGCGAACUCAAGCUAUGAAUAUAUCUUUAUCUACACAGAGGAAUUUAUGAUUUAGUUCAGUAUAGGCAAACCAAUUAAGCUGUACAAUCGUAAAGUAGCAGUUUACAUUUUUUUUUACGAACCACUUACAUGUAUUUGAAAAACUGUAUAUAUUUUAACAUUGCUUAAAGCAAUAAUUUCUUAACAUCGGUCACACAGUUAUGGUAUUAUCAUGCAAGUCGUUAAAUGCUGUAUGAAAAAGAACAGGUUUGAAACUUUGUGUUACGACUGUAUGAACACAUUAAAAGCAGACUCAUUGCCAUCAGACAGAGUUGAGAAUGAUCAUUCAGGAUUUGUGGUAUUUUGUUUUAUUUGAGCUUUUUAAUAGCCACAGUUAUGUGGUGGUUUUAAGUAUUACGUGUUUGGAUGGCUCUUGUGUAAGGCUGAUCCUUGAGUUGCUUAAGACUUCCUUUUUUAUUUUGCUCUGCACCUCUUUGUAUUGAGGUUGUUUUGUCUGUGAAAAUGGCUACAGUAAAACUGAUUUGAGUUCAGUUUCACUGCUUGAAUGUUAAGAGCAACAUUUAGAUGUUUUAUAAUUUAUUUGAUGUUAUUGCCCACUCAAUUGUAUUUUGUUGUGUAAAUAAUUUACUUUGAGGUAGUUACACAUUUUCAUACUAAUUUGUUGGAAGUUAAGACGGCAUCUCGUAAUCUUUCACUUUUAAGACUCACCACAGAUUCAAAUAAACUAUCUGUAACUUGUCACGGUGUUAAUUGCAGAGAUAUAAUACAGCUACAAAAUGAUCUCAA
This is a long non-coding RNA of Danio aesculapii, 2315 nucleotides long. RefSeq lists it as uncharacterized. The transcript is spliced from 2 exons. The record is from RefSeq and is a predicted model, not a curated record. Lineage: Eukaryota; Metazoa; Chordata; Actinopteri; Cypriniformes; Danionidae.